GCGCUCGCUUCGGCAUCACAUAUACUAGAACAAAGGAUGCAGAGAAGAUUAGCAUGGACCCUGCAUGAGGAUGACACUCAAAAUUCAGUAAGGAAAGGUUUAUUU
Molecule: small nuclear RNA, 105 nt
Organism: Octodon degus (degu)
Lineage: Eukaryota; Metazoa; Chordata; Mammalia; Rodentia; Octodontidae
Source: Ensembl